Molecule: ribosomal RNA, 846 nt
Filed under: uncultured bacterium
Lineage: Bacteria
Description: bacterial SSU rRNA
Rfam family: Bacterial small subunit ribosomal RNA
Source: RNAcentral
AGUUUGAUCCUGGCUCAGGAUGAACGCCCUUUGUGUGCCUAAUACAUGCAAGUCGUACGCACUGGCCCAACUGAUUGAUGGUGCUUGCACCUGAUUGACGUUGGAUCACCAGUGAGUGGCGGACGGGUGAGUAACACGUAGGUAACCUGCCCCGGAGCGGGGGAUAACAUUUGGAAUCAGAUGCUAAUACCGCAUAACAACAAAAGCCACAUGGCUUUUGUUUGAAAGAUGGCUUUGGCUAUCACUCUGGGAUGGACCUGCGGUGCAUUAGCUAGUUGGUAAGGUAACGGCUUACCAAGGCGAUGAUGCAUAGCCGAGUUGAGAGACUGAUCGGCCACAAUGGAACUGAGACACGGUCCAUACUCCUACGGGAGGCAACAGUAGGGAAUCUUCCACAAUGGGCGCAAGCCUGAUGGAGCAACACCGCGUGAGUGAAGAAGGGUUUCGGCUCGUAAAGCUCUGUUGUUGGAGAAGAACGUGCGUGAGAGUAACUGUUCACGCAGUGACGGUAUCCAACCAGAAAGUCACGGCUAACUACGUGCCAGCAGCCGCGGUAAUACGUAGGUGGCAAGCGUUAUCCGGAUUUAUUGGGCGUAAAGCGAGCGCAGGCGGUUGCUUAGGUCUGAUGUGAAAGCCUUCGGCUUAACCGAAGAAGUGCAUCGGAAACCGGGCGACUUGAGUGCAGAAGAGGACAGUGGAACUCCAUGUGUAGCGGUGGAAUGCGUAGAUAUAUGGAAGAACACCAGUGGCGAAGGCGGCUGUCUGGUCUGCAACUGACGCUGAGGCUCGAAAGCAUGGGUAGCGAACAGGAUUAGAUACCCUGGUAGUCCAUGCCGUAAACGAUGA